CCCGGAUCCAGCUCUACCUGGCUUGCUCUUCCGGCCAGAACAGCGGCAUCAGCAGGAUCUAUUCCUGGACCUGAACCUCAAGUCCCAGGUCGCCAGUUUUACCGGUUACCUCAUCCUCGUCUCCAUGAACUAGAGCAAGGGAAGCAGUAGGUGCAUGUGAAAAUGCGUUGAUAUUCGGCCAGGCCAACUACUACAAACUGCUCACCAAGGUUCCAAGCACAAGCAGAUAAUCCAUCUGUCAGUGCUCCAGGAAUGACCUCCUAGAUACUUGCAUGAUGUAUUUGGAGCCUGCUAAGUUUGUCGCAAAGCUGAGCGAACUGAAAAUGGAUGGAAGAUCCUGCUAUUCAAGUGCAAUCUCGGUGUUGGGUACUUCUCCAACUCGGGAAGUUUCGAGAAAUUGCAAGACGCUGUCACUUAUGCCUUCAUCCUCAAGUCAGUUGCCCUUUUUUAGGGGAUUUCUGAAGCAGCAGCGAUUCUGUCAAGUGAUGCUUAUAAUGUUAUUCUAUAUUUGGUGUUUUACUCUUUGAGCUGACCUGCAGGUACCUAUGGUUU
Lolium perenne is the source of this 552-nucleotide long non-coding RNA. RefSeq lists it as uncharacterized. NCBI's taxonomy places the organism in Eukaryota, Viridiplantae, Streptophyta, Magnoliopsida, Poales, Poaceae. The record is from RefSeq and is a predicted model, not a curated record.